RNAcentral lists this ribosomal RNA (1096 nucleotides) under Capsosira brebissonii. RNAcentral describes it as "16S ribosomal RNA". It matches the Rfam family "Bacterial small subunit ribosomal RNA", at positions 376 to 1484 of the family's 1533-position model. Lineage: Bacteria; Bacillati; Cyanobacteriota; Cyanophyceae; Nostocales; Capsosiraceae. The record is from RNAcentral. RNAcentral also lists the same sequence under 1 other name.
CGAAAGCCUGACGGAGCAAUACCGCGUGAGGGAGGAAGGCUCUUGGGUUGUAAACCUCUUUUCUCAAGGAAUAAGAAAGUGAAGGUACUUGAGGAAUAAGCAUCGGCUAACUCCGUGCCAGCAGCCGCGGUAAUACGGAGGAUGCAAGCGUUAUCCGGAAUGAUUGGGCGUAAAGCGUCCGCAGGUGGCAUUGAAAGUCUGCUGUUAAAGAGUCUGGCUCAACCAGAUAAAGGCAGUGGAAACUACAAAGCUAGAGUGCGUUCGGGGUAGAGGGAAUUCCUGGUGUAGCGGUGAAAUGCGUAGAGAUCAGGAAGAACACCGGUGGCGAAGGCGCUCUACUAGGCCGCAACUGACACUGAGGGACGAAAGCUAGGGGAGCGAAUGGGAUUAGAUACCCCAGUAGUCCUAGCCGUAAACGAUGGAUACUAGGCGUUGCUUGUAUCGACCCGAGCAGUGCCGUAGCUAACGCGUUAAGUAUCCCGCCUGGGGAGUACGCACGCAAGUGUGAAACUCAAAGGAAUUGACGGGGGCCCGCACAAGCGGUGGAGUAUGUGGUUUAAUUCGAUGCAACGCGAAGAACCUUACCAGGGCUUGACAUGUCGCGAAUCCCGGUGAAAGCUGGGAGUGCCUUAGGGAGCGCGAACACAGGUGGUGCAUGGCUGUCGUCAGCUCGUGUCGUGAGAUGUUGGGUUAAGUCCCGCAACGAGCGCAACCCUCGUUGUUAGUUGCCAGCACUUAGGGUGGGCACUCUAACAAGACUGCCGGUGACAAACCGGAGGAAGGUGGGGAUGACGUCAAGUCAGCAUGCCCCUUACGUCCUGGGCUACACACGUACUACAAUGCGACGGACAGAGGGCAGCGAGCAUGCGAAUGCAAGCAAAUCCCGAAAACCGGCGCUCAGUUCAGAUCGAAGGCUGCAACUCGCCUUCGUGAAGGUGGAAUCGCUAGUAAUUGCAGGUCAGCAUACUGCAGUGAAUUCGUUCCCGGGCCUUGUACACACCGCCCGUCACACCAUGGAAGCUGGUAGUGCCCGAAGUCGUUACCCCAACCUUUCGGGGAGGGGGAUGCCUAAGGCAGGACUGGUGACUGGGGUGAA